UCCCGCCAGGCCCCCUCCACCCGAUCGCCGCGCGCUCUCCGAACCAAAAGGCGACCUCACGAAAUGCCCCUUUGAGCUCAAAGGCUAGUUACCCCCAGGGGCCCUUCCACUCUCGGGGACAGGCGAAACCUCUUUGUCUCUGCCUCGGCCUGCGGCCCCCAGCCCAGCCUCCGCGCUUUCCCUCCGCCAGUCCUUGUCAAUCAAACCUGGUGCCAAACGCGGCAGCUGAAGUUUUCAGGGACACAUUUGCUUCUCCCCUUGAAGAACCAGUUACAAAGCGUGAUGUCCUCUCUGGGGUCCCAUCAGAACAAAGAAACAGGGAAGCAGCGGAAUACAAGAGACUGAACUGUAUCUGCCUCUGUUUCCAAAAGAUUCACGUUCAACUUUCACUCACACAAAGCCGGGAAAAUUUUACUUUUUUUUUUUUUUUUUUAGACAGAGUCUCGCUCUGUCACCAGACUGGAGUGCAGUGGCUUGAUCUCGGCUCACUGCAACCUCCGCCUCCCAGGUUCAAGCGAUUCUCCUGGCUCAGUCUCCCAAGUAGCUGGAAUUACAGGCACCCACUACCAUGCCCAGCUAAUUUUUGUAUUUUUAGUAGAGACGGGGUUUCACCAUGUUGGUCAGGAUGGUCUCGAUCUCCUGACCUCGUGAUUCGCCCGCCUCGGCCUCCCAAAGUGAUGGGAUUACAGGCGUGAGCCACCGCGUCCGGUCAUUUUAUUAGUCUUUAAAAAAAAAAAGGAACCUGAACUUUUCUAACACAGCUGGAACAAUUCACAGCAGCCGCGGCAGCCGCAGCAGCAGAAGAAAAGGUUUAAUUUAGUUGAUUUUCUGUGGUUGUUGAUUGUUCGCCAG
This 852-nucleotide long non-coding RNA is filed under the name Homo sapiens (human). RNAcentral's name for it is "NNT antisense RNA 1". The record is from RNAcentral. Lineage: Eukaryota; Metazoa; Chordata; Mammalia; Primates; Hominidae.